CUUGAUUUUGGUCACGAAGCCACCGUAGGAGGCGUAUGUCUCCUACACUCUUCUCAUACCAGUGCUCACUCUCAGGACGCCAUGCCAUCUCCUCCACCGCAGGCCACGCGUCAUCAUAGCCGUGUUUGGACCACUCCGGUGCCGGCGUCAUCCAUUCUCGGUGAGAGCCCGCGAUAUUUUUCAACUUGCUUCUUCACCGGACGUUGUGCCUUGCUAAUAAUCAGUGUAUAUGUGUGGAUAUUGUGAGGAGAAAUCUCAUGAUUUGGUGGAGAAGACAAUGUCCAAACACAACGCUUGCUAAGUGUUCGAUGAUUUGUUUGAGCCAAGAAUCUUCGUCGUUCUAGUGGUUUCGAGUCUGAUUUAGUUAUGGUGAGAUCCUUUUCUAUCCUUGCUAGUUAACUUUAAUGGUGG
Molecule: long non-coding RNA, 411 nt
Filed under: Zea mays
Lineage: Eukaryota; Viridiplantae; Streptophyta; Magnoliopsida; Poales; Poaceae
Description: drought responsive lncRNA
Source: RNAcentral